RNAcentral lists this unclassified non-coding RNA (372 nucleotides) under uncultured fungus. RNAcentral describes it as "sequence contains ITS1". The stretch from base 1 to 105 matches the Rfam family "5.8S ribosomal RNA", at positions 50 to 154 of the family's 154-position model. Lineage: Eukaryota; Fungi. The record is from RNAcentral.
GAAUUGCGAUAAGUAAUGUGAAUUGCAGAAUUCAGUGAAUCAUCAAAUCUUUGAACGCACAUUGCGCUUUCUGGUACUCCGGAAAGCAUGCCUGUUUGAGAAUCGAUAAAUCAUCAUAUUAACUUUGUAUUAAAACACAAAUUUAACGUGGAUAUGAGUUUUUUUGCGUUGCAAUAACUUUAAACAAAAUGUCUAUGGCCUCCUUUGGAAAGGAUGAGCUCGAGUGCAUGAAAAGCUUUAGCUUGAUUUCAUUCAAUGCUUGUUGUUUUUAAUUGAGAGUCAGAGAUUCAACUAAUCACUCAACACUUUUACAGUUUGUAAUAGUUUUGAACACUUGGUCUCAAAUCAGGUAGGAAAACCCGCUGAACUUAA